UACGUAGGUGGCGAGCGUUGUCCGGAUUUACUGGGCGUAAAGGGCUCGUAGGCGGCCAACUAAGUCGGACGUGAAAUCCCCAGGCUCAACCUGGGAACUGCGUCCGAUACUGGAUGGCUUGAAUCCGGGAGAGGGAUGCAGAAUUCCAGGUGUAGCGGUGAAAUGCGUAGAUAUCUGGAGGAAUACCGGUGGCGAAGGCGGCAUCCUGGACCGGCAUUGACGCUGAGGAGCGAAAGCCAGGGGAGCAAACGGG
This 253-nucleotide ribosomal RNA is filed under the name uncultured bacterium. RNAcentral describes it as "partial 16S ribosomal RNA". It matches the Rfam family "Bacterial small subunit ribosomal RNA", at positions 524 to 776 of the family's 1533-position model. The record is from RNAcentral.